AGCGAACGCUGGCGGCAGGCUUAACACAUGCAAGUCGAACGCCCCGCAAGGGGAGUGGCAGACGGGUGAGUAACACGUGGGAACGUACCCUUUGGUUCGGAAUAACUUGGGGAAACUCGGGCUAAUACCGGAUAAGCCCUUAUGGGGAAAGGUUUACUGCCGAAGGAUCGGCCCGCGUCUGAUUAGCUAGUUGGUGAGGUAAUGGCUCACCAAGGCGACGAUCAGUAGCUGGUCUGAGAGGAUGAUCAGCCACACUGGGACUGAGACACGGCCCAGACUCCAACGGGAGGCAGCAGUGGGGAAUAUUGGACAAUGGGGGCAACCCUGAUCCAGCCAUGCCGCGUGAGUGAUGAAGGCCUUAGGGUUGUAAAGCUCUUUUACCCGGGACGAUAAUGACUGUACCGGGAGAAUAAGCCCCGGCUAACUUCGUGCCAGCCGCCGCCGUAA
This 447-nucleotide ribosomal RNA is filed under the name uncultured bacterium. RNAcentral's name for it is "partial 16S ribosomal RNA". It matches the Rfam family "Bacterial small subunit ribosomal RNA", at positions 29 to 523 of the family's 1533-position model. The record is from RNAcentral.